AGAGUUUGAUCAUGGCUCAGGAUGAACGCUGGCGGCGUGCCUAACACAUGCAAGUCGAGCGAUCUUCUUCGGAAGAGAGCGGCGGACGGGUGAGUAACGCGUGGGUAACCUGCCCUGUACACACGGAUAACAUACCGAAAGGUAUGCUAAUACGGGAUAAUAUGCUUUUAUCGCAUGGUAGAAGUAUCAAAGCUCCGGCGGUACAGGAUGGACCCGCGUCUGAUUAGCUAGUUGGUAAGGUAACGGCUUACCAAGGCGACGAUCAGUAGCCGACCUGAGAGGGUGAUCGGCCACAUUGGAACUGAGACACGGUCCAAAUUCCUACGGGAGGCAGCAGUGGGGAAUAUUGCACAAUGGGCGAAAGCCUGAUGCAGCAACGCCGCGUGAGCGAUGAAGGCCUUCGGGUCGUAAAGCUCUGUCCUCAAGGAAGAUAAUGACGGUACUUGAGGAGGAAGCCCCGGCUAACUACGUGCCAGCAGCCGCGGUAAUACGUAGGGGGCUAGCGUUAUCCGGAAUUACUGGGCGUAAAGGGUGCGUAGGUGGUUUCUUAAGUCAGAGGUGAAAGGCUACGGCUCAACCGUAGUAAGCCUUUGAAACUGGGAAACUUGAGUGCAGGAGAGGAGAGUGGAAUUCCUAGUGUAGCGGUGAAAUGCGUAGAUAUUAGGAGGAACACCAGUUGCGAAGGCGGCUCUCUGGACUGUAACUGACACUGAGGCACGAAAGCGUGGGGAGCAAACAGGAUUAGAUACCCUGGUAGUCC
Molecule: ribosomal RNA, 760 nt
Filed under: uncultured bacterium
Lineage: Bacteria
Description: bacterial SSU rRNA
Rfam family: Bacterial small subunit ribosomal RNA
Source: RNAcentral